UCAGGAUGAACGCUAGCUACAGGCUUAACACAUGCAAGUCGAGGGGCAGCAUGGUCUUAGCUUGCUAAGGCCGAUGGCGACCGGCGCACGGGUGAGUAACACGUAUCCAACCUGCCGUCUACUCUUGGACAGCCUUCUGAAAGGAAGAUUAAUACAAGAUGGCAUCAUGAGUCCGCAUGUUCACAUGAUUAAAGGUAUUCCGGUAGACGAUGGGGAUGCGUUCCAUUAGAUAGUAGGCGGGGUAACGGCCCACCUAGUCUUCGAUGGAUAGGGGUUCUGAGAGGAAGGUCCCCCACAUUGGAACUGAGACACGGUCCAAACUCCUACGGGAGGCAGCAGUGAGGAAUAUUGGUCAAUGGGCGAGAGCCUGAACCAGCCAAGUAGCGUGAAGGAUGACUGCCCUAUGGGUUGUAAACUUCUUUUAUAAAGGAAUAAAGUCGGGUAUGGAUACCCGUUUGCAUGUACUUUAUGAAUAAGGAUCGGCUAACUCCGUGCCAGCAGCCGCGGUAAUACGGAGGAUCCGAGCGUUAUCCGGAUUUAUUGGGUUUAAAGGGAGCGUAGAUGGAUGUUUAAGUCAGUUGUGAAAGUUUGCGGCUCAACCGUAAAAUUGCAGUUGAUACUGGAUAUCUUGAGUGCAGUUGAGGUAGGCGGAAUUCGUGGUGUAGCGGUGAAAUGCUUAGAUAUCACGAAGAACUCCGAUUGCGAAGGCAGCCUGCUAAGCUGCAACUGACAUUGAGGCUCGAAAGUGUGGGUAUCAAACAGGAUUAGAUACCCUGGUAGUCCACACGGUAAACGAUGAAUACUCGCUGUUUGCGAUAUACAGCAAGCGGCCAAGCGAAAGCGUUAAGUAUUCCACCUGGGGAGUACGCCGGCAACGGUGAAACUCAAAGGAAUUGACGGGGGCCCGCACAAGCGGAGGAACAUGUGGUUUAAUUCGAUGAUACGCGAGGAACCUUACCCGGGCUUAAAUUGCAGAUGAAUUACGGUGAAAGCCGUAAGCCGCAAGGCAUCUGUGAAGGUGCUGCAUGGUUGUCGUCAGCUCGUGCCGUGAGGUGUCGGCUUAAGUGCCAUAACGAGCGCAACCCUUGUUGUCAGUUACUAACAGGUUCCGCUGAGGACUCUGACAAGACUGCCAUCGUAAGAUGUGAGGAAGGUGGGGAUGACGUCAAAUCAGCACGGCCCUUACGUCCGGGGCUACACACGUGUUACAAUGGGGGGUACAGAGGGCCGCUACCACGCGAGUGGAUGCCAAUCCCCAAAACCUCUCUCAGUUCGGACUGGAGUCUGCAACCCGACUCCACGAAGCUGGAUUCGCUAGUAAUCGCGCAUCAGCCACGGCGCGGUGAAUACGUUCCCGGGCCUUGUACACACCGCCCGUCAAGCCAUGGGAGCCGGGGGUACCUGAAGUGCGUAACCGCGAGGAGCGCCCUAGGGUAAAACUGG
Molecule: ribosomal RNA, 1443 nt
Filed under: uncultured organism
Description: SSU rRNA
Rfam family: Bacterial small subunit ribosomal RNA
Source: RNAcentral